UAAUUUCUUUUUACAAAAUAUCAUUCAUGGUGGUCUUCUUCUGCUCGACGAUUGUGGAUGUCGUCACGACAAGUAGGACAUGAUCGCUUGCAGCGUAGCCAGGGGAGAAUACAAUCUUUAUGAAAACUGUGAGAACAAAGCAACUUCAUGAUCCUCCUCUCACUACCUGAUGAUGCUAACUCUUCUAGACAUAUUAUGCACUCUUCUUCUAUUGGUAUUAGACAACCUUGAGAGUCAUAAUCAU
Molecule: small RNA, 244 nt
Filed under: Arabidopsis thaliana (thale cress)
Lineage: Eukaryota; Viridiplantae; Streptophyta; Magnoliopsida; Brassicales; Brassicaceae
Description: ATSL222660
Source: RNAcentral